GUUUGGCACUGCUACCACAGGGUUCACACCAUGCUAUGUCAAAAAGGAGGUGAUGAGACUCUGGGAGUCUCAGGCUCAAAGAAUGUCCUGAACCAACCUGAAGCCAUACCUGAACAUCCAUGUUUGGCAGAAGAGUGUGUGAGGAGCAGCCUGAACAGUCCGGGAGAGGAGUGAGAAUGACUUGGUUUCAUUAUCUUCACUCAUAUUAUCAAAUACUGAAUAACGGAUGUGUAAAGUCUUCAGCGUUGUGGCUUUAUAAUGUGUCAACUUGGCAAGACUGGACUACGCUUCCCAGAGAUCCCCUUUCCUGCAUGUUUUUGGGCCACCAGAGAGAUUCCUGUGUGGGAUUUGGUGAGCAGAAACAAAGCAGCAGCCAUGCUGUAGCUCACACAUUAUUGUUUACCCAUGGUCUCAAUCACUGUUGCGGAGCAGUGGACAGGCUGGAACUGGCCCACCUUUCCCGGAUCCUCCUUCAACCUCUCUGA
RNAcentral lists this long non-coding RNA (485 nucleotides) under Pan paniscus (pygmy chimpanzee). RNAcentral describes it as "lncRNA (ENSPPAG00000044957.1)". The record is from RNAcentral. Lineage: Eukaryota; Metazoa; Chordata; Mammalia; Primates; Hominidae.